This 360-nucleotide ribosomal RNA is filed under the name uncultured bacterium. RNAcentral describes it as "bacterial SSU rRNA". It matches the Rfam family "Bacterial small subunit ribosomal RNA", at positions 133 to 509 of the family's 1533-position model. The record is from RNAcentral.
UCGGAGCGGAAUAGACUCGGAAACCGGAGUAAAGACCGCAUAACAUAUUUUUCGUCAUGAAGAGAUAAUCAAAACUACCCGGUGCCGAAAGAUGGGCCCGCGUCCUAUUAGCUGGUUGGUGAGGCAACGGCUCACCAAGGCGACGAUAGGUAGCCGGUCUGAGAGGGCGAACGGCCACACUGGAACUGAGACACGGUCCAGACUCCUACGGGAGGCAGCAGUGGGGAAUAUUGCGCAAUGGGGGCAACCCUGACGCAGCAAUACCGCGUGAGUGAAGAAGGUUUUCGGAUCGUAAAGCUCUGUUAUUGGGGAAGAAGAAGUGACGGUACCCAAUGAGGAAGUCCCGGCUAAUUACGUGCC